GAUGAACGCUGGCGGCGUGCCUAAUACAUGCAAGUCGAGCGAACAGACGAUGAGCUUGCUCCUCUGACGUUAGCGGCGGACGGGUGAGUAACACGUGUAUAACCUACCUAUAAGACUGGUAUAACUUCGGGAAACCGGAGCUAAUACCGUAUAAUAUAUUGAACCACAUUGUUCAAUGGUGAAAGACGGUUUUGCGGUCACGUAUAGAUGGAUCCGGGCCGCAUGAGCUAGUUGGUAAGGUAAUAGCUUACCAAGGCGACGAUGCGUAACCGACGUGAGAGGGGGAUCGGCCACCUGAGAAGUGAGACACGCACAAUACUACUAAGAGAGGGAGCAGUCGGGAAUCUUACGCAACGGGCGGAAGUAUGACGGAGCAACGGGGCGUGAGUGAUGACGGUCUUCGGAUCGGAAAACUGUGUUACUAGGGAAGAACAACUGUGUAAGUAAAUAUGCACGUCUUGACGGUAACUAGUAAGAAAGCACCGGCUAACUACGUG
This 497-nucleotide ribosomal RNA is filed under the name uncultured bacterium. RNAcentral's name for it is "partial 16S ribosomal RNA". It matches the Rfam family "Bacterial small subunit ribosomal RNA", at positions 28 to 507 of the family's 1533-position model. The record is from RNAcentral.